UGGGUUUGACAUAUACCGGAAAGCCGUAGAGAUACGGCCCCCCUUGUGGUCGGUAUACAGGUGGUGCAUGGCUGUCGUCAGCUCGUGUCGUGAGAUGUUGGGUUAAGUCCCGCAACGAGCGCAACCCUCGUCCUAUGUUGCCAGCGGGUUAUGCCGGGAACUCAUAGGAGACUGCCGGGGUCAACUCGGAGGAAGGUGGGGAUGACGUGCCAGUAUCGGAA
Molecule: unclassified non-coding RNA, 221 nt
Filed under: uncultured Propionibacteriales bacterium
Lineage: Bacteria; Bacillati; Actinomycetota; Actinomycetes; Propionibacteriales
Description: contains 16S-23S intergenic spacer region
Rfam family: Bacterial small subunit ribosomal RNA
Source: RNAcentral